GUUUUGCCAUCGCGGCUCAGACCGCUGAAGUAGAAGGACUUGAUGUGCACAAGAUAUCCAGAAAGCGAGAGAGAGAAGAGAAAAUGUGCACUGAGUUUGCCAGUCUCCCAGACAGUAAUCUAGCACUCAUGCAGAGUUUACAGCACUGCCCUUUGUAGAAAAAGAGACCUCAUGAAACAUGGACUACAACAUGACAGUCCAGCACAGCACCAGGACCAACCAUGUUAAAGACUUUCAAACAUACUGGACACACUUUAACAUUUGUCAAGGCAUCAAACCCCUGAUGGUGUUCUGACACCAGAGAAGCUUUCCUAAUCAAGAA
This is a long non-coding RNA of Colossoma macropomum (tambaqui), 322 nucleotides long. RefSeq lists it as uncharacterized. The record is from RefSeq and is a predicted model, not a curated record. NCBI's taxonomy places the organism in Eukaryota, Metazoa, Chordata, Actinopteri, Characiformes, Serrasalmidae. The transcript has 3 exons.